GCAGCCGCCGCGGGAAUACGUAGGUGGCAAGCGUUGUCCGGAAUUAUUGGGCGUAAAGGGCUCGCAGGCGGUUUCUUAAGUCUGAUGUGAAAGCCCCCGGCUCAACCGGGGAGGGUCAUUGGAAACUGGGAAACUUAAGUGCAGAAGAGGGGAGUGGAAUUCCACGUGUAGCGGUGAAAUGCGUAGAGAUGUGGAGGAACACCAGUGGCGAAGGCGACUCUCUGGUCUGUAACUGACGCUGAGGAGCGAAAGCGUGGGGAGCGAACAGGAUUAGAUACCCCUGUAGUCCCUGUCUCUUAUAC
RNAcentral lists this ribosomal RNA (302 nucleotides) under uncultured bacterium. RNAcentral's name for it is "partial 16S ribosomal RNA". It matches the Rfam family "Bacterial small subunit ribosomal RNA", at positions 508 to 807 of the family's 1533-position model. The record is from RNAcentral.